This 508-nucleotide ribosomal RNA is filed under the name Microtonus dimidiatus. RNAcentral describes it as "partial 16S ribosomal RNA". The stretch from base 386 to 508 matches the Rfam family "Archaeal large subunit ribosomal RNA", at positions 2542 to 2664 of the family's 2987-position model. The record is from RNAcentral. Lineage: Eukaryota; Metazoa; Arthropoda; Insecta; Coleoptera; Melandryidae.
CAUGUCCUUUUGAUUAUAAUUUAAGGUCUGGCCUGCCCAAUGAUUAAUUUAAUGGCCGCAGUAUAUUGACUGUGCAAAGGUAGCAUAAUCAUUAGUUUUUUAAUUAAAAGCUGGAAUGAAGGGUUUAAUGAAAAAUAAAUUGUCUCAAUGUUAUAAUAAUAAUUUUAUUUUUAAGUUAAAAAGCUUAAAUAAAUUAAAAAGACGAGAAGACCCUAUAGAGUUUAAUAUUUAAAUAAAGAAUUAUUAAUGAAUUAAUAAAAAAGUUUUUUAUAAAGAAUAUUUUAUUGGGGUGAUAUUAAAAUUUAGUAAACUUUUAAUUGUUUAAUACAUAAAUUAAUGAUUUUUUGAUCCAGAAUUUUUGAUUAUAAGAUAAAAUUACCUUAGGGAUAACAGCGUAAUUUUUUUUUAGAGUUCUUAUUAAAAGAAAAGAUUGCGACCUCGAUGUUGGAUUAAAAUAUAAUUUUGGUGUAGAAGCUAAAAUAUUUAGGUCUGUUCGACCUUUAAAAUU